CGCCAAAGCGCCCGGACAGCGAGGGGCCCAGCGGUGUGGGAGGCAGCAGUGGCACAAGGGCAGGGACCAGAGGACAUCGGGAGGGGCUUCAGGCCAGCCACAUCUCUUUCUCUGCAGGCCUCCUAAAUAAUGGUGGUGUGUUUUCUCUCUAAUGGCAUGGAGAAAGGCUGUCUUCUGCUGGCUUCAUUGAUCAGAAGUCCUUCUCAGGGGCCAACAAUGUGAUGUAGCAGGUAAAGCUGUCACCUGUAGUGCAUCCCAUAUGGGUGCCGGUUCAAGUCCCGGCUGCUCCACUUCCCAUCCAGCUCUCUGCUGUGGCCUGGGAAAGCAGUAGAAGAUGGCCCAAGUCCUUGGGCCCCUGCACCUGCAUGGGAGACCUGGAGGAAGCUCCUGGCUCCUGGCUUCGGAUCAGCACAGCUCCGGCAGUUGCGGCCAAUGAGGGAGUGAACCAGCGGAUGGAAGACCUCUCUCUCUCUCUCUCUCUCUCUCUCUGCCUCUUCUUUCUUUGUGUUACUCUUUCAAAUAAAAAUAAAUAAAUCUUUAUAAAAAGAGAAGUCUUUCUCUGCCUUACUUGUCAGGGAGAUAUUAACCCACAGUACUUACCAUUAACUUACAACCUUUUUCCUUGAUGGCAUUAAUCCUUCCACAGUUCUCCUGUGUACUUUGUAGGUAGAGAUCCAAUUUAAUUUUUUUCCUCUCUAGUGAGACAAUUUUGAUAACACCAUCUUCUAAGCAAUGUGUGCUUUUGUCAUUAAAUUGAAACACAAGAUUUACUAUGUAUCAAAUUCUCAUCUAUAGGAAUAAACUAUUUCUCAGUUCUUUAUUCUGUUCCAUUUGUCCAACUUUUGUUCUUGUGCCAGUGCCAUAUUUAACUUAAAAAAAAACUGAGAUGUAACACAAAGAAAAACACACAAAAUGUAAAUAUACCACUUAAUGACUUAUAAUGGUCACCUAGGUUACUCCACUCAAGAUUAAGAAAUGAUCACUGACAGUAACCUCAAAAGUCUCUGCAUGUUGCAUCUCAAUCAUAAUGCCUUUCUACUACCAUUCCAGUGGCUAUCUUCCCAUGCAUCCAUAAAUGCUAUACUUUAGUCUAUUUUUUAAACUUUAUAUAAAAAGAACUGUACACCACACAUUCUUUUAUGCCUGGUUAAUUUCAACAUGAAUUAUGACAUUCAUCCACAUUGUUGUGUAUAAAAGCAGCUUAUUAUUUUCAUUUCACUCCAUUUUCUGUGGUAGGUUAAAGAAAUGUCUACAAUCCUUUAUUCCUCCCUAUAGCCAAGCCUUUUGCAAUGUGACCUUAAGGCUCCUCCCAUCAAGAGAUGGCAUCACUUCCCUUGAAUCUGUGCUGGUAUUGUGACUUGUUCAGGUGAAAUUUACCACAUACCCACUUGAGCUUAGGGCUCCAGAGGUCUUUGCUUCUGCUCUGUGCCUUGGGACUCCUGGCUCUGCCAUGUGAAUAAGUCUGCACCAGAUGGCUGGACAAUGAAAUAUGUGGACCAGAGCUGAGUUAGCCUGGUUGUCUGAGCUGCAGCCUUAGAGAUGUGAGUCUAGCUAAGAUUAGCAAAGUUGACUCACAUCUGGUCACAGGUGUGUGAGGCAGCUCAACUGAAACCAGAACAAUCUACCUGCGGAGCUCAUCCAUGGAAUGGUAAACUAAACACAAAGGUUGUUCUUUUAAGCCAUUGAGUUUUGGGGUGACUUAUUAUACACAAUAACAAGUUCAUAUUUCAUUACAUAUCUAUGCCACAAUUUAUCCAUUCUAUUUUUGAUAGAACUUCAUAUUGUGUUUAAUUUUUGGUUUCUAUGAAUUUUGCUGCUACAGAACAGUCUUAUCAAGCCUUAUAGUGUGCAUGAACAAACUCAAAUAUGCAAAAAUAAUUUGCAGUAUUAUAUAUUAGCGACACAACGAUGGAAAACAAUUAAAAAGAAAGAUGCCAUUAACAAUGUCAUAAAAAUAUCAAAUAGAGGUCAAGCACUGUGGUGUAGCGAGUGAGGCCACUGCCUGCAGUGCCAGCAUUCCAUAUGGGUGCCAGUCCCGGCUGCUCUACUUCCCAUCCAGCUCUCUGCUAUGGCCUGGGAAAGCAAGUUCUUGGGACCCUGCCCCACGUGGGAGACCUGGAAGCUCCAGGCUCCUGGCUUGGGAUUGGCUCAGCUCCAGCCAUUGUGGCCACUUGGGGGAAUAAACUAAAUAAAUAAAUCUUAAAAAUAAAUAGGGUCAGGCAUUUAAUCUAGUGGUUAAGACGUUUGUAGCCUAUAUCCUAGUACCUGAAUUCAGAUACCUAGCUCUGGCUUCUGAUUCCAGCUUGCUGCCAAUGCAAACCCUAGAGGAGAUAGCUUAAAUUACUGGGUUCCUGCCAUCCAUGAGGGAGUCAGGGAUUGAGUCCCAGGUACCCAGCUUUGGCUCCCUAACUGUUGUGGUCAUCUGGGAAGUGAACCAUCAAAUGGGAACUCCCUCUCUGUCUCUCUUCUUCUGUGUCUCUCUCAAAUAAAUAAAUAGAUUUUAAAAAUAAAUAAGAAUAAAGAAAACAAAACAGGUGCAAGUCCUUUGUGCAGAUGUCUUUAAAAUUACUAAGAGACAUUAAAGAAAGACUCACCAAAUGAAGAAAGAUGUGUCCAAGGUUGGUUGGCUCAAUAUCAUAUAAAUUCCCAAACUCGCCUAUAGAUCCGCUGAAGUUCCAACAAGUUUGUUGAAUUGUUUCUAAUGAGAAGUCUUUUGUAAGCCUCUGCAUAUAUUUCUUUUAGCACUGACUUUAGGAUUUCCUUUUUAUUUUUUUGUUUACAGAAGUUUGAAUGUCUCUGCAUGUCUGUGUGUUUUAUCCAUACUUAUUAUGUUUUAUCCCUAUUUAUUCUGCUUAAAGUUCCUUAAGAUUCCUGUACUGUGGGUUUGAUACCUUUAUUCAUUUUGAGAAAUAAUUGGCCAUUAUUACUUCAAAUAUUGCUUCUGCUCUGUUUCCUCACUCUUAUCAUUCUUGGAU
Oryctolagus cuniculus (rabbit) is the source of this 2975-nucleotide non-coding RNA. NCBI's taxonomy places the organism in Eukaryota, Metazoa, Chordata, Mammalia, Lagomorpha, Leporidae. The record is from RefSeq and is a predicted model, not a curated record.